Molecule: transfer RNA, 54 nt
Filed under: Ictidomys tridecemlineatus (thirteen-lined ground squirrel)
Lineage: Eukaryota; Metazoa; Chordata; Mammalia; Rodentia; Sciuridae
Also listed under: 1 other name
Description: Spermophilus tridecemlineatus (thirteen-lined ground squirrel) tRNA
Source: Rfam by way of RNAcentral
GGGGAUGUGGCUCAGUGGUAGAGUGUUUGCCUAGCAUGCAUGAGGUCAUCUCCA